Molecule: ribosomal RNA, 492 nt
Filed under: uncultured bacterium
Lineage: Bacteria
Description: partial 16S ribosomal RNA
Rfam family: Bacterial small subunit ribosomal RNA
Source: RNAcentral
AGUGAACGCUGGCGGUAGGCCUAACACAUGCAAGUCGAACGGCAGCACAGUAAGAGCUUGCUCUUACGGGUGGCGAGUGGCGGACGGGUGAGGAAUACAUCGGAAUCUACUUUUUCGUGGGGGAUAACGUAGGGAAACUUACGCUAAUACCGCAUACGACCUACGGGUGAAAGCAGGGGAUCUUCGGACCUUGCGGGAUUGAAUGAGCCGAUGUCGGAUUAGCUAGUUGGCGGGGUAAAGGCCCACCAAGGCGACGAUCGGUGGCUGGUCUGAGAGGAUGAUCAGCCACACUGGAACUGAGACACGGUCCAGACUCCUACGGGAGGCAGCAGUGGGGAAUAUUGGACAAUGGGCGCAAGCCUGAUCCAGCCAUACCGCGUGGGUGAAGAAGGCCUUCGGGUUGUAAAGCCCUUUUGUUGGGAAAGAAAAGCAGCAGGUUAAUACCCCGCUGUUCUGACGGUACCCAAAGAAUAAGCACCGGCUAACUUCGUG